GGUGUUUGCGGCUGUUGACUCUCAAUGAAGUUAAAUAUGGUUCUGUUGUGCAUGUGAGAUUGGUAUGCCAUCCAUGUAGUUGUUGGGCCAGGGACUGAAGGGCCAGACACCCAACCACUGUAUUGGGUUGGGAUACUUUCUGAAUAUGGUUACAAAAUGGUGGACAGACCAUGAUCAGAUGGUGCAGGUGGCAUGGGAACUGGAUCAGAAGUAUCAAGGCAAUAAGGGUGGAAUGCAACAGGUGGGGGCAAAACAUCACGAGGCGUGGGGGCAAAACAUCACGAGGCGUGGGGGCAAAACAUCACGAGGCGGCAAUUGUGGAUGAACUGGCUAUUGUCGACAUCGAGCAAAACGUGAUCGACGUCGUCCAUGUGAGGGCUCAGGCUGCUCAACUGGUUGCUCCUCUUCUAAUUCAUUUAUGAAAGUUGCUACUUGAGGUGCAAGCUGAGGAGGAGACAUCUAAUAAAGGCAACUUUUCUGCCCUAGAGCAUUCAUCAUAUUCCUCAGUGUACGCCUAACUUCCUCCACAUUUUUAGUUGAUGAGUUCUAUAAUUUUAGCAAACAAUCCUCAAU
RNAcentral lists this unclassified non-coding RNA (573 nucleotides) under Hevea brasiliensis (rubber tree). The record is from RNAcentral. Lineage: Eukaryota; Viridiplantae; Streptophyta; Magnoliopsida; Malpighiales; Euphorbiaceae.